AACUGAUACUACCUGCGGGAACCUGCGGAGGGAUCAUUGCUGGAACGCGCCCCAGGCGCACCCAGAAACCCUUUGUGAACUUAUACCUUACUGUUGCCUCGGCGCAUGCCGGCCCCCAGGGGCCCCUCGGAGACGAGGAGCAGGCACGCCGGCGGCCAAGCUAACUCUUGUUUUUACACUGAAACUCUGAGAAGAAAAAAACAAAAUGAAUCAAAACUUUUAACAACGGAUCUCUAGAUC
RNAcentral lists this unclassified non-coding RNA (240 nucleotides) under soil metagenome. RNAcentral describes it as "partial contains 5.8S ribosomal RNA, internal transcribed spacer 2, and large subunit ribosomal RNA". The record is from RNAcentral.